AGAGUUUGAUCCUGGCUCAGAUUGAACGCUGGCGGCAUGCCUAACACAUGCAAGUCGAACGGUAACAGGUCUUCGGAUGCUGACGAGUGGCGGACGGGUGAGUAAUGCGUAGGAAUCUGUCUUUUAGUGGGGGACAACCCAGGGAAACUUGGGCUAAUACCGCAUGAGCCCUGAGGGGGAAAGCGGGGGAUCUUCGGACCUCGCGCUAAGAGAGGAGCCUACGUCCGAUUAGCUAGUUGGCGGGGUAAAGGCCCACCAAGGCGACGAUCGGUAGCUGGUCUGAGAGGACGACCAGCCACACUGGGACUGAGACACGGCCCAAACUCCUACGGGAGGCAGUAGUGGGGAAUUUUUCGCAAUGGGGGCAACCCUGACAAAGCAAUGCCGCGUGGAUGAAGAAGCCUUCGGGUUGUAAAGUCCUUUCGUGGAGGACGAAAAGGUGGGUUCUAAUACAAUCUGCUAUUUGACGUGAAUCCCAGAAGAAGCACCGGCAAAUUCCUGCCAGCACCGCGGUAAUACCGGGGGUGCAAGCGUUAAUCGGAAUCACUGGGCGUAAAGGGUGCGUAGCUGUCGUUAGGUCUGUCGUGAAAUCCCCGGGCUCACCUGGGAUGGCGUUCAACCGGCCAUUAUAGUAUGGAGAAGGUGUGAUUCCGGUGUACGUAAUGCGUAAUUCUGAGACUCAUGCGAGCGCACUGUCAUACUGACCUAGCACAACUGGGAGAAAGAUAAUCCUGUUCCCCUACAUAACAAUUUGUGCCCGACUGAGUGUCUACUACAUAGAUCCUGAGAUCCAGUACUAGAUACGGCCCACCGGACAUGUAUAUACAACUCGUUUUCAUAAGCUGACACAGAGUCUCAGUAUCACUCGCUCGCAGAUCU
Molecule: ribosomal RNA, 879 nt
Filed under: uncultured bacterium
Lineage: Bacteria
Description: bacterial SSU rRNA
Rfam family: Bacterial small subunit ribosomal RNA
Source: RNAcentral